This 1100-nucleotide long non-coding RNA is filed under the name Chinchilla lanigera (long-tailed chinchilla). Its description in RNAcentral is "lncRNA (ENSCLAG00000024632.1)". The record is from RNAcentral. Lineage: Eukaryota; Metazoa; Chordata; Mammalia; Rodentia; Chinchillidae.
AUGAGGACCGUAACCAAGACACUGGUCUUGCCUUCCACUUGCCCCCAAACUGAAGGAAGCCUAGGGUCCCUGUGUCCACACCACAUGGCACCAGCGCCUGUACCAGCUGGGAGCCAUGUUUUCAAACUUCUGAUCCGCAACUCACGGGAAGGUCCUGAAGUCCUCAUCCUGGAGGAAAAGGAGACAGAGGUUCACUUCCACCAGUCCUCCGUGUCCACCAAGGUGUCCUCCUGGUCUCUGUCUCUCCAGGGCAGAAGGUGCCCGACGGCGACUGCCUCAGCUCCCUUACAACACUCGGCUCUCGCAGGACAGCAUCUGUCUGCUCAACAAGACUGUGAGCAAACGCUAGGGUGUACCCUGGUGGAACAGCACGUGCUUAAAAAUUUGGUGCCCAGCACAAAAGAAAGGCAGGAAGACUGUGAACAUCGACCACUAAGCAGACUUGUGUCUCAGAACCUGGCAAAGGCAGUGUGGAAACCAUGCCGAAGACCCUUCCUAAGAGCAAGAUCUUGACAGGAGAAGAGGAGAAAGCACACAGGUUUUCAAGAUGUGGAAAGCGCAAAUGGAUUUGCAGGUAAGCGUGAGAAGAGAAAGGGCUGGGAAGGAGGUAAAUCUACUUUGGCUGCAAGAAGCUGACUCUGGCCAGCAGUGGGCAGACUGGAAAGAGGCAGGGAGCUGCGGGAGGCGCUCAGCAACCAGGCCUGGGAAGGCGGGAGCCAGGGCAGCUCUGGGGACCUGGGGGGCAGGAGCUCGUAUGCCAUGUGGCUCUGGAUGACUCCAAGCUUUCGAUUGCUGGUGGCUACUCCAACCCCAAUUCUGACUCCAGGGCGAGAGUCUGACGGACCCUGUGGGUCCAGUGCCCCCCCUCUGAGAGUGGAGAGCAGGACGGACCUGUGGCCAGCAGCCCCGCUAGGAAUGUGUGGAACUGGGGAGGCGGAGCUUAGAGGGACGCUGAGUGUCUGUUCCCCGGAGGAGAGGCAGGAGUGCUGGGCAUAUGUGCACAGCAGAUGUUCACCGCACAUGGGAUGUCCAUUUGGAGAGGACGGGGAUGAGUGGGGUGGGGAUGGGAAUUUCCAGGACACUCCAGAAUCUGCCACAGG